GAUGAACGCUAGCGGCAGGCUUAACACAUGCAAGUCGAGGGGUAUAGGUUUUCGGACCUAGAGACCGGCGCACGGGUGCGUAACGCGUAUGCAAUCUACCUUUCACAGAGGGAUAGCCCAGAGAAAUUUGGAUUAAUACCUCAUAGUAUUAUAGAAUGGCAUCAUUUUAUAAUUAAAGUCACAACGGUGAAAGAUGAGCAUGCGUCCCAUUAGCUAGUUGGUAUGGUAACGGCAUACCAAGGCAACGAUGGGUAGGGGUCCUGAGAGGGAGAUCCCCCACACUGGUACUGGGACACGGACCAGACUCCUACGGGAGGCAGCAGUGAGGAAUAUUGGUCAAUGGGCGCAAGCCUGAACCAGCCAUGCCGCGUGCAGGAUGACGGUCCUAUGGAUUGUAAACUGCUUUUGCACAGGAAGAAACAACGCUACGUGUAGCGUCUUGACGGUACUGUGAGAAUAAGGAUCGGCUAACUCCGUGCCAGCACGG
Molecule: ribosomal RNA, 487 nt
Filed under: uncultured bacterium
Lineage: Bacteria
Description: bacterial SSU rRNA
Rfam family: Bacterial small subunit ribosomal RNA
Source: RNAcentral